This is an RNA transcript of Aegilops tauschii subsp. strangulata, 1721 nucleotides long. RefSeq lists it as uncharacterized. NCBI's taxonomy places the organism in Eukaryota, Viridiplantae, Streptophyta, Magnoliopsida, Poales, Poaceae. The record is from RefSeq and is a predicted model, not a curated record.
AGUGGAGUAAUGAAUGCCGAGCAUUUAUGCCACUGAGCCCAUGGUAGCUUCCAUUAACCCUUCCCUCCACCCGCAAUUCGAAACAGGAACCGACAUUCCCCCUCUCCCCCUCUCUCCCUCUACAUCCGACUCCAUGCCUAGCACCGGCGAGCUGUGACUGCCUCCCUCACUCAAGCUCGCAUGGCCAAGCUCGCGCAGUCCUCCUUCGCUCUCGACCUCCUGCGCCGCCUCCUCUGCGCGCACACCGCCGGCAAUGCGGCGGGCGGGGGCAACACCAACACCGUCCAUGCCGACGUCGCUGCUCUACGGCGCGGCGACGGCGCCGCGGCGUCCAAGGAGGAGGAGGGGGCGAUGGCCAGGAGCCCCUGCAUUGUGGCCAGGCUGAUGGGCCUCGACGCGAUAUGCCGACGCCGCCGCGCGACCAGCAGCAGACGCUGCGCCGGAGCCGCUCCGCCAGCUCCGCGGAGGGCUGGUCCUCGCCCACGCCGUGCUGCUUCGGUGACGCGCCGCGGCGCAGGGUGGUCAGGACCACGUCGGCGUCGUUCCGGGACCGGCCCACGUACCUGAGGCGGGAGAACGACGAGUUCCUGCUCCUCAGCUUCAGCCCGGACGACGACGGCGGCGACGACCGCGACGCGGCAGGGUGGCCCAGAAGCGACGACGACGACGCGGAGAUGUGGCCGGGAGCAGGCGCGGCAAGAGGACGGUGGACGGCGACGGGGCCAAGAAACAGAGGCGGAGGCGAAGAAGGCUCCCGCGGCGGCGGCGCGGCGACGAGGACGCGGAGUCAAAGCCUGGCCGGAGCAGGAGGCCGGCCGCGGCGGCGGAGGAAUGCGGCCUGGAGAACUCGAGCCCGGUGUCGGUGCUGGAGGCGCGAGAAGCGCAGGAGGAGUCGUCGACGGCCACCACCGCUUCGUCAUCUUCAGUGGAAGAAUUGGAGCAUGCAGAGCCGUGCUCACCUAGCUCAGAUGGAGGCGAAACCCGGCUGGCGCCGAGGCAGCAGCUGCAGAGAUCAAGGAGGAAGCUACUGCAAGCCAACUCCGACAAUCUCGGUGACGACCCGCGUCCUGCAGCAGCUAGCUCCUCCUCUUGUGUCUCGAAAUGUUCAGACAGGAAUAGGAGGGACAGGAGAGUGGUGAACAACAAGGCAGAGGCGAUCGCCCCGGAUGCGACCGGCAUCUGGCGAAUCAUCUGCAGGAUGGUUGAGCAAGAUAUAUGUGGCAUCAAGUGGCAAGCUAGAGGUGGUGGCGACAUUGCAGCGGCGAUGGGGUCAGAGAUCCUUGAUCAGCUCAUAUGGGAGCAAACAGCUGAGCUGAUGCAGCUAACUGUGGUCUGAAUAACUGUACAUGGCUACCCAACGUGCUGCAAAAAUCUUCAGAAUACUGAACAAGAUGAAGCUGUCGGCCGCUCCGGAUGCGAAAACUCUCUUGUUACAGAAGCUGCUGUUGCUGCUGAUGACGAUGCCAACAGCAUGAAGUGAAUAUCCAAGCAUUACUGUGGAGAUAUAUAUAGAUAUGUUCAGUGAAUCUUGAGGCUGAAGGUCUGAAGAACCUGAACUCUGUUCCUCUCCAAGUCUCCAAACAACCAUGCUAUGAAACUGUACAUGUUUUUCCUCCCUAUGUCAGCCCCAUGUACUAGCCCCUGAAUGAAUAACCUAACAAUAUAUUAGUACGAGUUAGUUGACAUAAUCUCUGUACUAAACCUUGUCCUGUGGUGCCCAA